RNAcentral lists this ribosomal RNA (491 nucleotides) under uncultured bacterium. RNAcentral describes it as "bacterial SSU rRNA". It matches the Rfam family "Bacterial small subunit ribosomal RNA", at positions 28 to 502 of the family's 1533-position model. The record is from RNAcentral.
GACGAACGCUGGCGGCGUGCCUAAUACAUGCAAGUCGCGCGGAUGGAGAGGAGCUUGCUCCUUGAAGUCAGCGGCGGACGGGUGAGUAACACGUGGGCAACCUGCCUGGCAGACGGGGAUAACGCUUGGAAACGAGUGCUAAUACCCGAUACGCUCUUCACGGGCAUCCGUGAGGAGGGAAAGGCGCUUCACGGCGUCACUGCCAGAUGGGCUCGCGGCGCAUUAGCUAGUUGGUGAGGUAACGGCUCACCAAGGCGACGAUGCGUAGCCGACCUGAGAGGGUGACCGGCCACACUGGGACUGAGACACGGCCCAGACUCCUACGGGAGGCAGCAGUAGGGAAUCUUCCGCAAUGGGCGCAAGCCUGACGGAGCAACGCCGCGUGAGUGAUGAAGGUCUUCGGAUUGUAAAACUCUGUCUUCCGGGACGAACCGAUAGGUGAGGCAAUGCUCCUAUCCUGACGGUACCGGAGGAGGAAGCCCCGGCUAACC